This 535-nucleotide ribosomal RNA is filed under the name uncultured bacterium. RNAcentral's name for it is "bacterial SSU rRNA". It matches the Rfam family "Bacterial small subunit ribosomal RNA", at positions 94 to 630 of the family's 1533-position model. The record is from RNAcentral.
AGCCGCGAACGGGUGAGUAACACGUGGGUUACCUGCCUCGAUGACCGGGACAACCCGAGGAAACUCGGGCUAAUACCGGAUGUGCCCGCAAGGGGAAAGGAAGCUUCGGCCUCCGCAUCGAGAUGGGCCCGCGGCCCAUUAGCUUGUUGGUGAGGUAACGGCUCACCAAGGCUUUGAUGGGUAGCUGGUCUGAGAGGACGAUCAGCCACACUGGGACUGAGACACGGCCCAGACUCCUACGGGAGGCAGCAGUGGGGAAUCUUGCGCAAUGCGCGAAAGCGUGACGCAGCAACGCCGCGUGGGGGAAGAAGGCUUUCGGGUUGUAAACCCCUUUCAGUUGGGACGAAGCCUCAUCGGUUAAUAGCCGCGUGGGGUGACGGUACCUUCACAAGAAGCACCGGCUAACUACGUGCCAGCAGCCGCGGUAAUACGUAGGGUGCAAGCGUUGUCCGGAAUUAUUGGGCGUAAAGAGCGUGUAGGCGGCUUGAUUAGUCUGCUGUGAAAGUCCAGGGCUCAACCCUGGAAUGCCGGUGGA